ACUCAAAUGAAUUGACGGGGGCUCACACCAGCGGUGGAGCAUGUGGCUUAAUUCGAGGCUACGCGAAGAACCUUAUCCCAGACUUGACAUGCACGGAUUAGCCGGCGGAAACGUCGGUGACACCCGCAAGGGUGGAACGUGCACAGGUGCUGCAUGGCUGUCGUCAGCUCGUGUUGUGAGAUGUCGGGUUAAGUCCCUUAACGAGCGAAACCCUUGUCCUUAGUUACCAGCGGGUCAUGCCGGGCACUCUAAGGAGACUGCCGGUGUUAAGCCGGAGGAAGGUGGGGAUGACGUCAAGUCCUCAUGGCCUUUAUGUUUGGGGCUGCACACGUGCUACAAUGGGGGGUACAAAGGGGCGCAAGCGUGCGAGCGCAAGCCAAUCCCAAAAAGCCCCUCCCAGUUCGGAUUGCGGGCUGCAACCCGCCCGCAUGAAGUUGGAAUCGCUAGUAAUCGCAGGUCAGCCAUACUGCGGUGAAUGUGUUCCUGAGCCUUGCACACACCGCCCGU
RNAcentral lists this ribosomal RNA (507 nucleotides) under uncultured bacterium. RNAcentral describes it as "partial 16S ribosomal RNA". It matches the Rfam family "Bacterial small subunit ribosomal RNA", at positions 899 to 1397 of the family's 1533-position model. The record is from RNAcentral.